Molecule: non-coding RNA, 192 nt
Organism: Anopheles atroparvus
Lineage: Eukaryota; Metazoa; Arthropoda; Insecta; Diptera; Culicidae
Source: Rfam
UGCAGAAAUGAAAUGCCACUAAGGUGAUGGAUCCGACUCCUCUCGAAGGAUAAUAUAGGCUCUCCUCCCCACUCCUACUCAAUACGUCCAAGGCGUACAGAACGGUAACGUACCACUCCGAAUAUCCAAGCUUGGGUAAACGGGGAAACCCAACCCCUUGGGAGGAUGGAUGGUAAGGCUGAAUUGAGAGGG